CCUGCCUGUAAGGGGAUAACUCCGGGAAACCGGGGCUAAUACCGGAUGCUUGGAACCGCAUGGUUCAAUUUAGUCUAUAAAAGGUGGCUUUUAGCUACCACUUACAGAUGGACCCGCGGCGUAGCUAGUUGGGGAGGACGGCUCACCAAGGCAACGAUGCGUAGCCGACCUGAGAGGGUGAUCGGCCACACUGGGACUGAAACACGGCCCCCUACGGGAGGCAGCAGUAGGGAAUCUUCCGCAAUGGACGAAAGUCUGACGGAGCACCGCCGCGGGAGUGAUGAAGGUUUUCGGAUCGUAAACUGUUGUUAGGGAACAAGUACCGUUCGAAUAGGGGGGUACCUUGAUACCUAACCAAGCCACGGCUAACUACGUGCCAGCAGCCUAAUACGUAGGUGGCAAGCGUUGUCCGGAAUUAUUGGGCGUAAAGCGCGCGCAGGCGGUUCUUAAGUCUGAUGUGAAAGCCCCCGGCUCAACCCGGGGGUACGUCGAGGGUCAUUGGAAACUGGGGAUUGAGUGCAGAAGAAGAGUGGAAUUCCACGUGGCGGUGAAAUGCGUAGAGAUGUGGAGGAACAAAGCAUGUCCAGUGGCGAAGGCGACUCUCUGGUCUGUAACUGACGCUGAGGCGCGAAAGCGUGGGGAGCGAACAGGAUUAGAUACCCUGGUAGUCGCCGUAAACGAUGAGUGCUAAGUGUUAGAGGGUACGUGGUUUCCGCCCUUUAGUGCUGCAGCAAACGCAUUAAGCACGCCUGGGGAGUACGGUCGCAAGACUGAAACUCAAAGGAAUUGACGGGAGCAUUACGGCGGUACGUCCGCACAAGCGGUGGAGCAUGUGGUUUAAUUCGAAGCAAGAAGAACCUUACCAGGUCUUGACAUCCUCUGACAACCCUAGAGAGGGCUUCCCCUUCGGGGCAGAGUGACAGGUGGUGCAUGGUUGUCGUCAGCUCGUGUCGUGAGUUGGGUUAAGUCCCGCAACGAGCGCAACCCUUGAUUAGUCUCUUAGUUGCCAGCCAGUUGGGCACUCUAAGGUGACUGCCGGUGACAAACCGGAGGAAGGUGGGGAUGACGUCAAAUCAUCAUGCCCCUUAUGACCUGGGCUAACGUGCUACAAUGGGCAGAACAAAGGGCAGCGAAGCCGCGAGGCUAAGCCAAUCCCACAAAUCUGUUAGUUCGGAUCGCAGUCUGCAACUCGACUGCGUGAAGCCAGUCACUGGAAGCUAGUAA
RNAcentral lists this ribosomal RNA (1224 nucleotides) under Bacillus licheniformis. RNAcentral describes it as "partial 16S ribosomal RNA". It matches the Rfam family "Bacterial small subunit ribosomal RNA", at positions 125 to 1348 of the family's 1533-position model. The record is from RNAcentral. Lineage: Bacteria; Bacillati; Bacillota; Bacilli; Caryophanales; Bacillaceae.